Long non-coding RNA from Carassius gibelio (silver crucian carp), 918 nucleotides. RefSeq lists it as uncharacterized. The transcript has 3 exons. The record is from RefSeq and is a predicted model, not a curated record. NCBI's taxonomy places the organism in Eukaryota, Metazoa, Chordata, Actinopteri, Cypriniformes, Cyprinidae.
CUGCACGUCUCACCAUCUUAAAUCACAUUUUAUGUUACACUUGCCAGCAGAAGGACAUACGGGACCAGUGGAGAUGUUGAGGGGUUAUAAGAGAAUAUUUAGUGUGACAGCAGAAAUAAAGGUCAUUAUAAAGGUUUACAUCAGAGUCCAGCAACCAUACCGAACAGACUCUAAAGUUCAGCCUAAACCCUGUGGAAAAUAAAACAGCGACGAUGUCAAGUGACAGGAAAUGUAAGGCUUCACGCUGUUCCUCAGACAGCAGGUGGUCUGUCAUGUGAUCUCGAGCGUGGCUCUCUGUCUGUCAUUCACAGCAAUCACUGAAAGAUACCACUGGCAAACACUGCAGAAGGACGAUUUCUCAGACUGUCCAUCAUCACGGUCUGUUCAAACAUGUCUCAUGUCAGUGAUGCCAGAAGUGUCAUGCUUGUUCAAACCAAGCACAUGUGAGCGUGCAUUUUAAAGGAAUAGUUCACCCAAAAUGAAAAUUUGUACUCACCCUCAGGCCGUUCAGAUUUAUUCAGCCUUAGGCCAUGCGAGAUGAAGAUGAGUUUGUCAUAACAGAUUUGUGGAAAUUUAACAUUACAUCACUUGCUCACCAAUGGAUCCAGUGAAUGGGUGCCAUCAGAAUGAGAGUCCAAACAGCUGAUAAAAACAUCACAAUAAUGUAACUAAUCAUGAUCUGCGUGUUAAGACUUUAUUUUUUUUAUUUUUUUUACUUCAAACCCUUGCUUCCAGCUGAAAAUAUGUGUUCUGUGUUUAUAAUGUUGUUUUAUCUGGUGAAAAUGUUUUGUCUGAAUCAGGAGAGAAAUAUGCACAAGAACAUGCAAAAACAGUUCUAAAUUGGCAAACUUUUUCUUUAAGAAACUUUUUCACUGGCAGAAGCCCUAUUAUGGAUUUUGGACUGGUAUUUUGGCCAGA